RNAcentral lists this ribosomal RNA (46 nucleotides) under Suzukiozyma palmioleophila. RNAcentral describes it as "[Candida] palmioleophila partial 28S ribosomal RNA". The record is from RNAcentral. RNAcentral also lists the same sequence under 1 other name. Lineage: Eukaryota; Fungi; Ascomycota; Pichiomycetes; Serinales; Debaryomycetaceae.
UUUGACCUCAAAUCAGGUAGGAUUACCCGCUGAACUUAAGCAUAUC